CGAAAGCCUGACGGAGCAAGACCGCGUGGGGGAGGAAGGCUCUAGGGUUGUAAACCCCUUUUCUUUGGGAAGAACAAAAUGACGGUACCAAAGGAAUCAGCCUCGGCUAACUCCGUGCCAGCAGCCGCGGUAAUACGGAGGAGGCAAGCGUUAUCCGGAAUUAUUGGGCGUAAAGCGUUCGUAGGCGGUUUUAUAAGUCUGCUGUCAAAGUGCGGAGCUCAACUCCGUAAGAGCAGUGGAAACUGUGAGACUUGAGUGUGGUAGGGGUAGAGGGAAUUCCCAGUGUAGCGGUGAAAUGCGUAGAUAUUGGGAAGAACACCGGUGGCGAAAGCGCUCUACUGGGCCAUAACUGACGCUGAGGGACGAAAGCUAGGGGAGCG
This 380-nucleotide ribosomal RNA is filed under the name uncultured cyanobacterium. RNAcentral describes it as "bacterial SSU rRNA". It matches the Rfam family "Bacterial small subunit ribosomal RNA", at positions 376 to 770 of the family's 1533-position model. The record is from RNAcentral. Lineage: Bacteria; Bacillati; Cyanobacteriota.